RNAcentral lists this transfer RNA (77 nucleotides) under Fidelibacterota bacterium. RNAcentral describes it as "tRNA-Gln". It matches the Rfam family "tRNA". From Rfam's summary of the family: Transfer RNA (tRNA) molecules are approximately 80 nucleotides in length. Their secondary structure includes four short double-helical elements and three loops (D, anti-codon, and T loops). Further hydrogen bonds mediate the characteristic L-shaped molecular structure. tRNAs have two regions of fundamental functional importance: the anti-codon, which is responsible for specific mRNA codon recognition, and the 3' end, to which the tRNAs corresponding amino acid is attached (by aminoacyl-tRNA synthetases). tRNAs cope with the degeneracy of the genetic code in two manners: having more than one tRNA (with a specific anti-codon) for a particular amino acid; and 'wobble' base-pairing, i.e. permitting non-standard base-pairing at the 3rd anti-codon position. The record is from RNAcentral. Lineage: Bacteria; Pseudomonadati; Fidelibacterota.
UGGGGGAUAGCCAAGUCAGGUUAAGGCUACGGACUCUGACUCCGUGAUCGAAGGUUCAAAUCCUUCUCCCCCAGCCA